Non-coding RNA from Stachybotrys chartarum IBT 40288, 81 nucleotides. The record is from Rfam. NCBI's taxonomy places the organism in Eukaryota, Fungi, Ascomycota, Sordariomycetes, Hypocreales, Stachybotryaceae.
GGGGGGCUGGCGCAACGGUAGCGCGUCAGAUUCCAGAUUGGAAUCUCCUGAAGGUUACCGGUUCAAAUCCGGUGUCCCUCA